This 65-nucleotide transfer RNA is filed under the name Neoperla sp. FS-2017. Its description in RNAcentral is "tRNA-Asn". Lineage: Eukaryota; Metazoa; Arthropoda; Insecta; Plecoptera; Perlidae. The record is from RNAcentral.
UUAAUUGAAGCCAAAACGCGGCUUGUCACUGUUAAUGACAUCAUUGAACUCUAGUUCCAAUUAAG